This 484-nucleotide ribosomal RNA is filed under the name uncultured bacterium. RNAcentral's name for it is "bacterial SSU rRNA". It matches the Rfam family "Bacterial small subunit ribosomal RNA", at positions 19 to 518 of the family's 1533-position model. The record is from RNAcentral.
AUGGCUCAGGACGAACGCUGGCGGCGUGCCUAACACAUGCAAGUCGAACGGAGUAAGAAUUCGGUUUUACUAGUGGCGAACGGGUGAGUAACGCGUGAACAACCUGCCUUUCUGAGGGGGAUAACACCUGGAAACAAGUGCUAAUACCGCAUAAGACCACAGAGCCGCAUGGCCCAGGGGUCAAAGGAGUGAUCCGCAGGAAGAGGGGUUCGCGUCCCAUUAGCUAGUUGGCGGGGCAACGGCCCACCAAGGCGACGAUGGGUAGCCGAGCUGAGAGGCUGAUCGGCCACACUGGAACUGAGACACGGUCCAGACUCCUACGGGAGGCAGCAGUGGGGAAUAUUGGGCAAUGGGCGCAAGCCUGAACCCCAGCAACGCCGCGUGAGGGAAGAAGGUCUUCGGAUUGUAAACCUCUGUCCUAUGUGACGAAGGAAGUGACGGUAGCAUAGGAGGAAGCCCCGGCUAACUACGUGCCAGCAGCGGC